GCAGCUUGGUGUUUGUCCGCAUGUUAUGUUUUGGUCAUAAAGGGAAUUUGUUGUUAGCUGUA
RNAcentral lists this transfer RNA (62 nucleotides) under Paragonimus westermani. Its description in RNAcentral is "tRNA-Gln". The record is from RNAcentral. Lineage: Eukaryota; Metazoa; Platyhelminthes; Trematoda; Plagiorchiida; Troglotrematidae.